This 253-nucleotide ribosomal RNA is filed under the name uncultured bacterium. RNAcentral's name for it is "partial 16S ribosomal RNA". It matches the Rfam family "Bacterial small subunit ribosomal RNA", at positions 524 to 776 of the family's 1533-position model. The record is from RNAcentral.
UACAGAGGGGGCAAGCGUUGUUCGGAAUUACUGGGCGUAAAGGGCGCGUAGGCGGCCUUCUAAGUCGAACGUGAAAUCCCCGGGCUCAACCCGGGAACUGCGUCCGAUACUGGAAGGCUUGAAUCCGGGAGGGGGAUGUGGAAUUCCAGGUGUAGCGGUGAAAUGCGUAGAUAUCUGGAGGAACACCGGUGGCGAAGGCGACAUCCUGGACCGGUAUUGACGCUGAGGAGCGAAAGCGUGGGGAGCAAACAGG